Molecule: ribosomal RNA, 253 nt
Filed under: uncultured bacterium
Lineage: Bacteria
Description: partial 16S ribosomal RNA
Rfam family: Bacterial small subunit ribosomal RNA
Source: RNAcentral
UACAGAGGAUGCAAGCGUUAUCCGGAAUGAUUGGGCGUAAAGCGUCUGUAGGUGGCUUUUUAAGUCCGCCGUCAAAUCCCAGGGCUCAACUCUGGACAGGCGGUGGAAACUACCAAGCUGGAGUACGGUAGGGGCAGAGGGAAUUUCCGGUGGAGCGGUGAAAUGCGUAGAGAUCCGGAGGAACACCAGUGGCGAAGGCGACACGCUGGGCCGUACCUGACACUAAUACGCGACAGCAUGGGGAGCGAACGGG